Long non-coding RNA from Anneissia japonica, 367 nucleotides. RefSeq lists it as uncharacterized. The transcript has 3 exons. Lineage: Eukaryota; Metazoa; Echinodermata; Crinoidea; Comatulida; Comatulidae. The record is from RefSeq and is a predicted model, not a curated record.
CCUACAUGCCUGACCUCACUUUGUCAUGUCGUCUUCAGCUGUCAGGUGGCUGGUUGUAAGUUGCGGCAUUACGAAGGACUUAGGCAUCAGGAGAAAAGAGAGAACACAUGAAAGCGUUGGAGUUUACACUCGGAUAUCACACUAAGGCUAGUUUUUUGAUUGGAAGAAAUGUUUUAAACAAAUUAUUUACAAGGCAGCUUGUUUUAUGAUAGCUGUGUCAUCGAGUCAAUGUCAGUAACAUCUGCUAAACAUAGGAGCAUUGAACAUCCAAAAUUCAUUUAUAUAUUCUCCUGACUCCAGAGCGACUACCGUUGCAGUAAGGAAUACGAAAGGUCAUCAAUUGGUUGUAGGUCAGACAGGACCAGAG